UCUCCAGGCACAGGCCUCCCUGGGCGGACGUGCAGAGUUUGGGAUAUGUGCACUGGGCGUUUCCCUCUCCCCAUUUUGUGCCUCCUGUCUCCGGUGCCAGUCUGCAGUGGUGCAAUUUGCUGGCGGACCGCAGAGCAGAUGUCUUCUAGAGAUGUCCGAGUGGUUACUCACUGCAAGAACUGGUCAGAUACUUCUGAGAGCUGAGCAGGGAACAGGUUCCUCACAUGGACAGAAAUAACUGAAUGUAAGAUCAUUCCGCACAACUUCCCAUCCAUGUUGGAAUCCCUUCUACAGAACCCCAGCUCCUAGUUGAAAACUUCUGGUAUCAAAAUGCCUUUUCUUCACAAGCAACCCAUUCUACUUUCUGUCAACUCUCAAGAACUUGAAGUCAGGAGGAGUUAUCUCCAAGCAUCCACACCUGAGGGGCUUCCUCUUCUCCAGAUCUGAUGGAGAUGCUGAAGUUCUGGAUCUGAAGCAGAGAGAGUGUGCAAGCCAGGGAGAGGGGCAAAGGGAGUGAGAGAGAGACUCCCAAGCAGGUUCCACAUUCAGCGCAGAACCCAACACAGGGCUCAAUCCCAUGAUCCUGGGAUCAUGACCUGAACCAAAAUGGAGAGUUGGACACUCAACUGACUGAGCCAUCCAGGCACCCCUAAUUAAGAACUGGUUUCCUUAUAAGUAUGGGAUGAAGGCAAUGGAGGCUGGACAGAAGAAACUCAGGGGCCUUCUCUGCCUGGUGUCCUGGAAUUCAGGCUCUGCCUGGAAGGCGUAGGACUUCCUCCAUGCCCUCCACACACUGGGAACUUCUGGAGGCCCCACGGGAUUCAAAUACAACACCAUCAAUCUCUGGACUGCCCCCAUGAUGGUGGGGUGUCCAGCGAAGGGCUGCUCCAGAGCAGAGCAGUGGAAGCAACAGGAAGAUACUUCCCAGCCACCUACAAGGUUCCUGUGUCAAAAGAAGGAGGAGCAUCCUUCGUCCCUCUCCUGCCAAAUACUUACUGAGCGCCAGGUCUAGCACAGAGCCAUGAAUGGACAAGGCACAGUUCUUUCCCAGUUGAAAAGACAAAGAAAUAGUAUCUGGUGGAGGAAGAACAAGUUAGAGAUAAAUCAUGAAAUGAGCUUUGGCUCAGGGCACGGGCUGUGCUGAAGGUCAGUCAUAGGUGGACUUUUUGGCCCCAACAGGCUCAUCUGUCCAGACCGGCCAUGGAGGAGCCACCCGUGGUACUGCCAUCUCUUUGAACAUUUUGGGACUCAUCUUGGAGACUUGCCUUUUGAGGCUCAGCACAUUCUCUGGAUUAGCUUCAAGGGGCAAAGCUGGACUUUUUGUGGAUGAGUAGGAGUUUUGGAAAGAACCAAAAGUCAUUCGUAGCAUAAUGUAGAGAGAAGUUGAACCCCCGUGUUGCACACCUGAAACUAAUGUCAACUAUAACUAUUAUGUGUCAAUGCAAAUAAAACAAAUUAAAAAAAAAAGCCAUUCUGGCCAAAUGCAGGCCAUUCGAUUCAGUUUCGUUCGAUUCAACAAAUGUUUAUUGAGUGUCUACAGUCCGCAAGGCUCUGUACUAGGCUCUGGGAAUUAGACAAAUCCCAACUCUGCCAUCUUAGAACUGACAGCUUUGCAGGCAAGAUAGACACUAAAUUUAAAGACAAGUAAUGACUUGGGUAGUGAGUGCAUCAAAAAGAUGGGGAAGGGGGAAGAGUAGCAUCCUGGGCUGAAGGAACAGCAUAAAAGAUAGUAAUAUUAGCCACCUAUUGAGCACCAACUAUGCAUCAGACACUAUUCAAAGUAGUUUUUAUAGAUUAUCUCAUUUAAUCCCUCCCACAAAGGUAUGUGGUAGGUGCCAUUAUUAUCCCCAAAUUAUAGAUGGGAAAACAGGCACAGCCAGAAUAAGUAGAUUUCCCAAUCAGUAAAUAGAAAAAUGGGGUUUCAAACCCAGGCAUUCUGGCUCCAGAGCCGACACUCUGAACCGCUAAGUGAGAGAGCUUGUGUGUGCUUAAAUGCGCUGGCAUCGUUUGAAUAAAAAUAACUUCUCAAGAGUAUGGGAAGGGAGACCUUUGGAAGCGUAAAUGGGUAUAAUCUCAGCAAAAUGAUGUGGCAACGUGUGUGUAAAGAGAAAUUGUGGUUUAUAUAUACAAUGGAAUACUACUUGGCAAUGAGAAAGAAUGAAAUCUGGCCUUUUGUAGCAACGUGGAUGGAACUGGAGAGUGUUGUGCUAAGUGAAAUAAGUCAUACAGAGAAAGACAGAUACCAUAUGUUUUCAGUCACAUGUGGAUCUUGAGAAACUUAACAGAAGACCAUGGGGGAGGGGAAGGAAAAAAAAAAGUUAGAGAGAGAGAGAGCCAAACCAUAAGAGACUCUUAAAAACUGAGAAUAAACUGAGGGUUGAUGAGGGAUGGGAAGGCGGGGAGGGUGGGUGAUGGGCAUUGAGGAGGGAACCUGUUGGGAUGAGCACUGGGUGUUGUAUGGAAACCAAUCUGACAAUAAAUUUCAUAUUAAAAAAAAAAGUGUUAAGGGUGUGUCUCCACCUUUUGUCUUCUAGAAACUUAUUCAAAGGAAAUAAUCAGGACUGUGCAUAAAGGUGCACCAAGGGGACAUGACCAAAAUGUUCUUCAAUAGGGAUCAGUUAAAUAAAGUAUAGCACAGUUAUGCAACAAAAUAUCAUGCAGCCUUUGAAAAUUAAAAAUUGUGUUUGUUCCUCUUGUUUUGUGUCUUCAGGGUGCUUUGAGGAAGUAGGAGAAGUCUGCCAAAAGAAAGACGGGGUGGGCCCUUCUGUUCAGAUAGCAAGGGGCCGUAGUUGGGACCCCUGGGUAGUUCUGGAGGAGGCAGGGAGGCCAGGCUGAGGUGAGGCUUGCAGGGGGGAAGUGAGACUUGGCUCCAAGUAAUCAUGACCUAGGGGAGGGGGUGUGGCCAGCC
This is a long non-coding RNA of Neofelis nebulosa (Clouded leopard), 2908 nucleotides long. RefSeq lists it as uncharacterized. The transcript is spliced from 5 exons. Lineage: Eukaryota; Metazoa; Chordata; Mammalia; Carnivora; Felidae. The record is from RefSeq and is a predicted model, not a curated record.